GGCGAACGGGGGAGUAACAACGUGAGAAAUUUUCCCCUUUAGACCGGGAUAACUACUGGAAACGGGUUUGUAAUACCGGAUGUUUUCUUUGUACCGCAUGGUACUUAGAGAAAAGCUUAGAUGCACUAAAGGAUGAUCUCGCGGCGUAUUAGUUAGUUGGUGAGAUAGUGGCUCACCAAGACAAUGAUACGUAGCCGGCCUGAGAGGGUGACCGGCCACACUGGGACUGAGACACGGCCCAGACUCCUACGGGAGGCAGCAGUAGGGAAUCAUCGGCAAUGGGGGGAACCCUGACCGUGCAAUGCCGCGUGAGUGAUGAAGGCCUUCGGGUUGUAAAACUCUGUUGCGAAGGAAGAACAACCUAGAUAGAAUCUAGGUCUGACGGUACUUCGCCAGAAAGCCAUGGCUAACUACGUGCCAGCAGCCGCGGUAAUACGUAGAUGGCGAGCGUUAUCCGGAUUUAUUGGGCGUAAAGGGUGCUCAGCUGGUUUGUUAAGUCUGUAGUUAAAAUUCGAAGCUCAACUUCGAAGUGCUAUGGAAACUGAUAAACUUGAGUGCAGAAGAGGGUAGUGGAAUUCCAAGUGUAGCGGUGAAAUGCGUAGAUAUUUGGAGGAACACCAGUGGCGAAGGCGACUUACUGGUCUGUAAUUGACGCUGAGGCUCGAAAGCGUGGGUAGCAAACAGGAUUAGAUACCCUGGUAGUCCACGCCGUAAACGAUGAGUGCUAAGUGUUAGGGGGUUUCCGCCCCUUAGUGCUGGAGUUAACGCAUNAAGC
RNAcentral lists this ribosomal RNA (775 nucleotides) under uncultured bacterium. Its description in RNAcentral is "bacterial SSU rRNA". It matches the Rfam family "Bacterial small subunit ribosomal RNA", at positions 97 to 865 of the family's 1533-position model. The record is from RNAcentral.